This 253-nucleotide ribosomal RNA is filed under the name Acidobacterium sp. RNAcentral describes it as "partial 16S ribosomal RNA". It matches the Rfam family "Bacterial small subunit ribosomal RNA", at positions 524 to 776 of the family's 1533-position model. The record is from RNAcentral. RNAcentral also lists the same sequence under 1 other name. Lineage: Bacteria; Pseudomonadati; Acidobacteriota; Terriglobia; Terriglobales; Acidobacteriaceae.
UACGUAGGCAGCAAGCGUUGUUCGGAAUUACUGGGCGUAAAGAGUGUGUAGGCGGUGCUCUAAGUUCGUUGUGAAAUCUCCCGGCUUAACUGGGAGGGUGCGGCGGAAACUGGAGUGCUUGAGCGCGGGAGAGGAAAGCGGAAUUCCUGGUGUAGCGGUGAAAUGCGUAGAUAUCAGGAGGAACACCUGUGGUGUAGACGGCUUUCUGGACCGUAGCUGACGCUGAGACACGAAAGCGUGGGUAGCAAACAGG